UCAGUGAAUCUCUGAGAUAAGUGAAUUGGGAUUUUAGUUGGAUUGUUUAAGAUUCGAGGUUGUUUGUUUGUUGACUUCUCUUUUGCUUUUUCCAAAUUACAUAUUGUUCUGGUGGAUCACUAGUAAAAUUGGAUUGUGUUUUUGGUGGAGUAGUUAGACCUUCUUUCUUGGAUAUAUAGAGAUGGGUUUGAGUGUUUUAUUUAGCAGUACAAUUUAGCGAGAACCCUUCACUUUGUAGAUUCUGUUUUGGGCCAGGGACAGAAAGUUCGAGGAUUUUUUUCCCCUUGCUAAUGGCACUGAGCGAGAAAAAUCCUAUGGUUGUUGCCCAUAUUUUGAUUGGGAUGGUUUUGGUUUUGCUGAGUAGUAGAAUAUCUGUGAGUAAUGCUACUGAGACUGAUUUAGCGUGCUUGAAAUCCAUCAAAGCUUCUCUGGUGGACCCUAAUAACUACUUGAACACUACAUGGAAUUUCGACAACAAUACUGAAGGCUUCAUAUGUAGAUUUAUGGGCAUUGAUUGCUGGCACCCUGACGAGAACAGAGUUCUAAAUAUCCGCCUUUCAGACUUGGGUCUUGAGGGCCAGUUCCCCCCUGGAAUCCAGAAUUGCACAAGCUUGACUGGCUUGAAUCUUUCGCAGAACCAGCUAUCUGGCUCAAUCCCUGCUAAUAUAGCAAAGUUUAUCCCCUAUAUUACAAACCUUGAUCUUUCAUUCAACAAUUUUUCGGGUGGAAUUCCACAAAAUCUUGCAAAUUGUAGUUUCUUGAAUGAUCUCAAACUUGACAACAACCGGCUAACAAGCAAGAUUCCGCCGGAAUUUGGCCUGCUUGAUCGGAUCAAGGUAUUUACGGUUACCAACAAUCUUCUAUCAGGGCCGAUCCCCUCAUUUAUCCAUAAUAACAUCCCAGCUGAUAGCUUUGCAAAUAAUCUGGACCUCUGUGGGAAGCCAUUGAAUUCCUCCUGUCCAGGUGUCGCAAGGAAAUCCCAUGUUGGAGUAUUUGCUGCAUCAGCCGCUGGCGGGAUAACAUUUACAUCAAUUAUUGUUGGUGUCUUUCUGUUCUUGUCUCGCGGAGCGGCUAAGAAGAAGGCGGAGGAUCCUGAAGGCAACAGAUGGGCAAAGAGCAUCAAGGGAACCAAAGGCAUCAAGGCAAGCUAUCUAGCUCAUCAUGUUCAAUGGAUAUACUGUGUUUUUUUCUGGCAUAGGAAUUGAAUUUCUGUUCUUUUUUCUGGUCAUGCUAACUCAUCGAUGAUUUCAUUUUUUAUUUGACGCAACAAAAUAUCUAACAGCAAAGAUUCUGUUAUCAACAGGUUUCCAUGUUUGAGAAAUCGGUUUCAAAAAUGAGAUUGAGUGAUCUCAUGAAGGCAACCAACGACUUCAGUAAUAACAACAUCAUUGGAGCAGGAAGAACAGGACCGAUGUACAAGGCAGUGAUUUCUGAUGGUUGUUUCCUUAUGCUUAAGAGAUUGCAAGGCUCUCAGCGUUUAGAGAAAGAGUUUGUAUCAGAGAUGAAGACACUUGGGAAUGUGAAACACCGAAAUUUGGUCCCGCUGCUGGGCUUUUGUGUGGCAAAGAGGGAGAGAUUUUUGGUGUAUAAAUUCAUGGAAAAUGGGACCCUUUAUGAUAAACUGCACCCAGUGGAACCUGAGAUCAGGAACAUGGAUUGGUCCCUGAGGCUCAAAAUUGCAAUUGGAGCGGCUAGAGGUUUGGCAUGGCUUCAUUAUGACUGCAAUCCACGAAUUAUCCACAGGAACAUAAGCUCCAAAUGCAUACUCUUGGAUAACGAUUUUGAGCCAAAGUUAUCUGAUUUUGGCCUUGCCAGACUCAUGAACCGAAUCGACACACAUUUGAGAGCUUUUGUCAAUGGGGAGUUUGGGGGGUUGGAUUAUGUUGCUCCUGAAUAUCUAAGGACCCUUGUUGCAACGCCCAAGGGGGAUGUUUAUAGCUUUGGUGUGGUUCUCCUGGAGUUGAUCACUGGUGAAAAGCCCACUCAUGUUGCUAAUGCCCCUGAAAGCUUCAAGGGAAGUUUAGUGGAGUGGAUCAGACAACUGACAGAUGGUCCGCUUCUUCAUACUUCCAUUGACAAGCCUUUGCUUGGAAAUGGAUUCGAUCACGAACUCAACCAGUUUCUUAAAGUUGCUUGUAACUGUGUGGUUGAGAAUGCCAAGGAGAGACCAACAAUGUUUGAGGUGCAUCAGCUCCUCAGAGCUAUUGGGGAGAGAUACCAUUUCACAACUGAAGAUGAUAUUAUGUUGCCAACUGAUACAGGUGACACUGAUUUCCCGGAUGAACUUAUUGUUGCCGAUGCAACAAAGGAAGUUUAAUGAAUAACAGAGGUUAAGAUUGAUAGAAAAGAGUCUGAGGCCAUCAAUCGGCACUCGUGAAAAUAUAUUCUACGUUAUAGCUGUGAUCAUAUAGGUAUAGUGUGAGUGUUUGUAACUAUAUUUGUAGCAUUUCAAGCACCUGCUUUGGUUGAAACACCAACUUUAUAUAUACCGUUGUCCAAUUAUCAUAAAAUCUUGCUCAUUUAUCCUCGUACAUAGACAAUUUCUUUGUUGGAUGUUGAGAGUCGAUAAAUAAACUUGCUUAAGUAGUCGAGGUGUUUGUCUGUAAGCCUUUCGGUUUUCUAGUAUUUUCUUUUUAUUUUUCCCUCCAAAGUGAUAUUGUAUCAUAAGCAAGUAUGCAACUUUAUUACUCAGUAAUUUCAAGCAUCCGAGUAUUGUUGCCUGGCCUGGACCCAAAAAGCAGAAUAAGGAGAUCCUUUGUCACCAUGAGGAAGAGUAAUAUUUUUUUUAGAAAUUCUCCAGUUCUUAUAUUUUAUUUUUCUUACAAAAAAAAUACUAAACUUAAAGUUUUUAGUCCAUGUUUUUUUUACAAUGAAUACAGUUACAAACUAGUCCCCAAUAAAAAAAAAUUUCAAUUUAGUGAAGUAGCAUGUCGUUUAACUAAAACUUAGUAGCAUGUCGUUUGACUGAAACUUUUAGUAUCCAAUAAAAAAUGGGAAUGCCAUUUCUGAAGAAUAGAAGGUUUAAGAAUAUGAGAACAAUUGUUUAGGCAAGACUCCUAAAUUUACUCUCGUAUUUGUGUUAAUUAUUCAUUUUUAUUCUUAUGUUUUUUAUUAUGUUUUGUAAAUUUUUUCAGUUAAUCCUAGUGAUUUCUAAUUUUUUCUAAUAAACCCAGUAAUUAACUUACAUUAAGUCUUGAUUUUACCAUGCAUGUCGAUGUAACUUUAUUUAUUUUUCACUCUUGUAUUUUUAAUUCGAUCAAUUAACUUUUGUGUUUUUUGAAGUAGUUUUUUUAAUCCUUGUGUUCUCUGAACGUGUUGGCUUUGACUCAAUACCUGGUUUUUAAAAGGGUGUUGUUUGUUUUUUUAGAUGUUUUUUAAAAGUAUUUUUUUUAAUAUAAAAUUAAUAUUUUUUAGUGUUUUUUUGAUAAUUUUAAUGUAUUUAUAUUAAAAAAUAAAAAAAAUUAUUUUAUUUUAUUUUUAAAUAAAAAACACUCUGCAUCAAAGUGUUGGAUACACUCUAAUAAGAAUAUAUUUGAUAUUGGAGUAACGAUUAUUUUUCAAAGUGUUUUUUAUUUGAAAAUAUAUCAAAAUCAUAUUUUUUAUAAAAAAAAUUAUUUUUAACAUCAACAUAUUAAAAUAAUUUAAAAAUACUAAAAAUUUAAUUUAAAAUUAAAAAAAUAAUGGUUUUCAAAAACAGUUUUAAAAUACAAAGUCUACGCUACGGCUUCAUGUUAACCAUGCAUGUUAAUAGUGUUGAAAUUAAAUACUUUUUAUCGCGAGAUGACUUUUAUAUUCAUAUGGGGUCUGAACCUUCAAUUAGCUAUGGAGCCAAUUGAACAUAAAAAAAAAAAAAAAAAAUAAACUGAUUCAAGGAAUAAAAAAUGAAAAAGAAAAUAAUUUUAUAUUACGAAACACACGCAUGAUAUUUCAUUGUCUCGAAGAAAAAAAUAAAGAGACAGACUGGCGGCUAUGAGAAAUCCAGAGUGAGAGGAAAGAGAGGAGAAACUGCAUUGCUUUGCACUUUGCAGAGUUGAUCAUCCCAGGAUUGGACACGCAACCAAUGGCAGUCAAUGCCAUGAUUGCCGCGAAGAAAUGACAGAGAGCCAAAAAAAUGUUAGAACGUAGAGGACCAGAUUAUAAUUAAUAAGUAUUCUUGUCGAAAAAAAUGUUAUUUGUAACCAUGUUUUAUAUUUACGGAAAGUAAUUUUUUUAGAGAGUGAUUUCUUUUAGAAAAUAGAUUUUUCAACAAAAAUUAUUUUCUGAUAUUUAUAGGAUCAUAAAAAAAUAAAUUGAAAAAUAUUUUUAGUAUUUAGUUAUGUAAUGAAAAAUAAGUUGGAAAAUAUCUUAUUAAUAAAUGUUUUUUAAAUUUAUUAAAAUAAUAAGAAAUAAAUCUUACAAAUAAAAAAUUUGAAUAAGAAUAAAAUUUUAAAAAAUAUAUCUAAUUUCAUAAAUUAUUUUACAUAAAAUAAAUAAUAAUUAAAAUAAUAAAGAUCAAGUUUAAUAGAUAAAAAAUAAUAAAAUAAUAAAAUUUAAAAAAAUACAAUGAAAAAAAGUUAAAGCCGUUGAUGAUUUAUCCCAUUAUAUUUAUCCAAUUAUUAAGAUUUUAUAAAUUAUUUUAAAUAAAAUAAAUAACAAUCAAAAAAAUAAAGAUCAAAUCCGAUAGAUAAAAAGUUUCAAUUAAAAAAUUAUAAGAGAAAAGCAAAUAAAAAUCAUAAAAAUAAAAAUAAGGACCAAAAUUGAUAUAAAAAUCAAAUUCUAAUGGAUGAAAUUGAAAAAAUAAAACAAAAUAUAUAUAAUAAUCAAAAGUUUGAGGACUAAAUUUGAUAUAGUCAGUAAAUAACAUGACAUUUCUAAAUUUUUAACAACUUCUGAAAAAUAUUUUUCCGUCUAAGUCUAAAAUAGAAGGAACAUAUUUUUUUCCGAAAACAAAGCUAAUUUUUUUUAAAAAAAAAAUAUUUUUUGUUUAUUAACUUUUUUAAUAAUAAAUACACACAUAAAAGUUUUAAAAAAUAAUUUAAAAAAACCACUUUCCAUGAAAGUAACCUUGACAGUGAAAUCAUCGUUAUUAAAUAACUGCCUUUAUUAUAAAAAAAAUAUCAUAUGACGUUGGUUGAUGGUAGCGCAUAAAUCAUAGGUUAAAAAUAUUCUCAUAAGCAGCUUCGCGAGACACCAUAGAAGAGAUUUAACUACUUGAACAAAUGUCCAUUUCGCAAAUUAAAUAAUUUUAUUUUCUCGGAUCUGUAAAUAAACGUCAUUUUAUGUUUAUUUUUUCAUUUUUUUUUUAUCACCACAUCCUUAAAAAUUAAAAAUUUAUGUGUCAUAACCAUCUAGGUGGUGGCUCAGUGGUAAGAGCUUGAGACCAAGAUGUUUACUCUCUCUGUGGUCUCAGGUUCGAGCCAUGUGGUUGCUCAUAUGAUGGCCACUGGAGGCUUACAUGGUCGUUAACUUCAGAACCCGUGGGAUUAGUCGAGGUGCGCGCAAGCUGACCCGGACACCCACGUUAAACUAAAAAAAAAAAAUUUUAUGUGUCAUGUUUUUACAUCAUGAAAUUUUUGUUAUGUAUAUCUUGAUUAGAGAUGAGAAAAAAACUGAAAAACCGAUUAAAUCUAGAUAACCGGAAAAAAAUAAUUGAAAAAAAACCAUUUAGAUCAUUUAAAAUUUUAUAAAAAUUUUGAAAACCGGAAAUUUUUAUUACGUAUAUCUUGAUCUCUUUUUUUUUUUUUUUAGAAAUUCUCUUCAGUUCCUGUAUUUUAUUUUUCCUGCAAAAACAAUUUCUUAACUUAAAGUUUUUAGUCCAUGUUUUUUUUACAAUGAAUACAGUUACAAACUAGUCCCCAAUAAUUUUAUUUUUUCAAUUUAGUUCUUAAAUAUCAAAUCAUAAACUUUGUCGAGAUUCUUCAAAUAGAUAUAAAUUAUUAUAGGAAACAAAAGUAAACAAAAUCACAAUAAUAUCAAUCACAGUCAUGAAAAGUAAUCACAUCCAUGACCAAUUGAACCAAUAAAAAAUUAUCAAGAAAUUCAAGUACCGUUACGAGACAAAUUCGUUCUUAUAAUAUCAUAUAUUUAUUAUACUAUUUUUCUGCUUUUAUUUUUCAUCUCAACUUCUUUGGACUAAAAGCAGGAAAUAAUUUUUUGCAGGAGGAAGGAAAUUCUUAGAGUAAAUAUCGAUAUUACAUUAAAUAAAAUCUAUUUUUUAAACGAGCACAUCUAUUUAAAUUUAUCUAACCCUUACUUUAUUCAUCAAUUCAUUUAAAUUAUUUGAUAAAUUCUGAAUGUUAGAUGUCGUCAUCUAGAUUGAUGAAAAUACAAGAAAUUCAAACCUAACCUAGUUUAUUAAAAAAAAAUCAUGUAAAAAAUAAAUUUUAACAUAACAAGACAUUUCUUUAAUAAAUAAGGUGGGAUUUGAGUUUUUUAAGUAAGUGUUUGCAUGAAAAUAUAUAUUAGAAGAAUAUAUUGGAGAGUAACUAAAUAAAUAUAAAUUAAAAAUAAUUAGACUUGUAAAGAUAGAUUUGAGAUGGAUCUAAAAUAUAAAAAUGAACUGAAAUAAUUUUUAUAAAAAAAGAAAAUCCUAUUUGUUUGGUUUAUAAAUAUGACACGAAAUCCAACCCAGUCCAUGUUAUCGGGAUGGGAAUUAGUCAAAUAUCCUUACUUCUUUUCCGAGGGACUGGAAACACAUGCUAGAUAUGAUAAUUUUUCUAGUGAGAGUAAUUCCUUUGCAUUUUAUAUUCUAUUUCUCACUACUUUGACAAGAAUCCUGUGGUUAAAACAUCACAAGUUCCUUUUUUUUAUUAUUAUUAUUAUUAGUGGUUAAAAAGCAAGGAUGAUACUAGUGAUCUAAAAAGGAGAAGUAGCCAAGAAAUAAUGGCAUGAGGUUGUCAAUGGUGCGAAUAUGAAAUGGACUAGCCCAAGACUUAUCCCUGUGCUCAGUUUGAACCCGGCGACAGAAAUUGUGGUGAGAUUAAUGAGUGAAUAUGAAUGAAUGGCUUAACUGAAGGGGAAAGACUCAUUCAACACAGCUUGCCUGAUCCGUAAGGAGUUCAGUGUUCACAACUUCCCAUUAGCACAAAGAAAUUGUUUUGAUGUGACUUUAUUAGAGGAGAGGUCAUGACUCAUGCCUGGCCAAGCCCAUCGUGCAAGCAACCAGAGAAAGUAGGGCUGUGUGUGUGUGUGUGUGUGUGUGUGUGUGUGUGUGUUAUUACAAGAUGGUUUGUUUUCAUGUCGAACAGUCAAUUCAUUACCACUACCCGACUCAUCAGUUUUCCACAGAUUAGAACAGUUCUGCGCGUCAUUGGUCCGAAUUUUCAAACCAAAGACUUUUCUCCAUUCACUUUUUUCACUUUGGACCCUUGUGUGUGCUUCGGGUUGUUGGAAAGCAAGAAGACUUGUACAUUAAAGUCUUCUUUGAAGGGGAAAAAAAAAUGAUGUUUCCUACCUCUUUCUCUUGUUAAAAUCAAAUCAACUCAACCCCAUCUCCACGUUUUCAGUGUUAUAAUAACUGUGUUCUUUCUCUUCAUUUUUUUCCUCAUUCUCCUUGCAGCAUUCUUCUUGCUUGGUGACUUCUUAUAUGCUCCACACUUCCAUUUCAUCAUCAUCAUCAUCUUCAUCUGGGUAUGUCUCAAAUCUUGUUUUCUUUCAGUGAAUCUCUGAGAUAAGUGAAUUGGGAUUUUAGUGGAUUGUUUAAGAUUCGAGGUUGUUUGUUUGUUGACUUCUCUUUUGCUUUUUCCAAAUUACAUAUUGUUCUGGUGGAUCACUAGUAAAAUUGGAUUGUGUUUUUGGUGGAGUAGUUAGACCUUCUUUCUUGGAUAUAUAGAGAUGGGUUUGAGUGUUUUAUUUAGUAGUACAACUUAGCGAGAACCCUUCACUUUGUAGAUUCCGUUUUGGGCCAGGGACAGAAAGUUUGAGGAUUUUUUUCCCCUUGCUAAUGGCAUUGAGCGAGAAA
This 7939-nucleotide long non-coding RNA is filed under the name Populus trichocarpa (black cottonwood). Its description in RNAcentral is "long non-coding RNA (PTRI_LNC002580)". Lineage: Eukaryota; Viridiplantae; Streptophyta; Magnoliopsida; Malpighiales; Salicaceae. The record is from RNAcentral.